This is a long non-coding RNA of Chiroxiphia lanceolata (lance-tailed manakin), 1547 nucleotides long. RefSeq lists it as uncharacterized. The transcript is spliced from 4 exons. The record is from RefSeq and is a predicted model, not a curated record. NCBI's taxonomy places the organism in Eukaryota, Metazoa, Chordata, Aves, Passeriformes, Pipridae.
GCCGCUGCUGCCUUUGUUCGGCCGAGCGGCGCCGGCAGGGGAGGGCGGUGGGUGGCAGGCUGGACGCUUCUCCCACACGAAGAUUGUUCCUCCGCCACUGGCAGACACGGAGUAACUUCGCCGAAGUUAAUUUAUACCUUCAGUUCAGGUACUUGAGGUCAACACAAGCAGCCCUGUCAUGGCAGUUAAAAGGAUAGAGGGAGGAGAAUUUCCCCUCAUUCACAUCUCGCUUAGAAGAGACUGACAGACUUAAAAAUGACAUUUUCUGUGUGGUCCAUGAGAUGCCCGGGGAAAGAUACAGGUAAUGUGAGGAAGGAGGGAAAUGUGCAGCAUGUGAGCUGUUCCACAUCAUCAAGGACCUUCUGCUUCCUAGAUGUGGUAACAUGGCAGCUUUAGAGAAAGAGAAUCAAAAACAAGUGACAGCCCAGCCUCUGCCUCAGACAGAAGACCAACCCAUUGAAGCAGUGGUGAGAGAUCCUCUCACUGCAAGGCAAGCUGCAGCCAUGAGCUCAUCAUGCACAUCCAUGGACUUCAUCAUUUUCCGUAUCUCUCUAAUGUAACCAGCACCCUGGCCUUAGGAUGACAUUUAGGGGUACCUUACAUGAUUAUCCUUGUACACAAAUCUAUGCAUUUUGAGAUACUGAUUUAUAAAUAAAUAAGCAUAUAAACUCCUGAUUUAUAAAUAAUAUCUAAAGUAAGAAACUAAUUUUAUAAACAUGGUUAUACCUGAUUAAACUCCUCUGACUCAAUAAGACUGCUCAAUGGGAGUAAAAAAUGUGCAUAAGAAAUUGUGUUGUCUGGAACUAGGUUAAGAACUUCUGGAAAUGAAUAUAAAACUAUUGUAUUCAAGACUGAUUUCUUCUUUAUGCUUUCCAAAAAACAUUAUUAUCAAAUGCAUUAAUCUUGUCAGUCCAUUAAAAUAUUUCACAACUUUUAAAAGGUGUUGAGAUUAAAAAAAUUAAACCCCCACCUAUUGAUAAUAACUGUCUUUCUAAAUCCAUAUUCUUAUAAGACCUAAUCAAUAGGUUUACUCAGAAACAGCUGACACCACUUAAAACUGUGUUAAUUAACACAGAUUCUCAAGGUCCAGUUCUAAUGGAGACAAGCUCUGUCCGCCUUUAACAGAGCCUCAUUAUUGUUCACGCUACUUGAAUCUGCCAUUAACAGUAAGUCUCCAUCUCACAGCUGCUGCUAAACCUGUGGUCUGCUUGCAUUCAAAGAGGAUUUCAGUUGUAUUUUGGCAUGACAUAUGAUAUUCAGAAUAUCACCUGUAACUGUGAGUAAGAAUGACUGAGCUGGUUAUCUCUAAAAUCCUGUCUGUGGAAAGUUUGGGCUUUGCAUACAUUCUCUUUAUGUAAACUUAUGUGUAAGGAUUUAAAAAUGCAGACUGCUGCCUGUAUUACUGUGGCACUCAGAUUGAAUUAGGCACAGCAACUCAAAUACUAAGUGGUGUAGCCUUCAUCCCUGCCCCUACACCUGUGGGAUGUAUUUAGUUCUGAGGCCCUCCAGUCAGCUGACCAGGAGGUGUGAACUGGAUCAGCAACAAG